UACGUAGGGGGCAAGCGUUGUCCGGAAUCAUUGGGCGUAAAGCACGUGUAGGCGGCUCGAUAAGUCUGCUGUGAAAGUUCAGGGCUCAACCCUGAAAUGCCGGUGGAAACUGUCGAGCUAGAGUACGGAAGAGGUGAGUGGAAUUCCUGGUGUAGCGGUGAAAUGCGCAGAUAUCAGGAGGAACACCAAUGGCGAAGGCAGCUCACUGGGACGUUACUGACGCUGAGACGCGAAAGCGUGGGGAGCAAACAGG
RNAcentral lists this ribosomal RNA (253 nucleotides) under uncultured bacterium. RNAcentral describes it as "partial 16S ribosomal RNA". It matches the Rfam family "Bacterial small subunit ribosomal RNA", at positions 524 to 776 of the family's 1533-position model. The record is from RNAcentral.